AUCUCUGAGUUAGAGUAAACUGUCAAGACUUAAAACUUACUUACUUUACCUUCACUAUGGGACUUGUAACUGUCACUUCUGUCUUGAGUGGUUAAAAGAUAGAACAGUCUAGCCAAGUGCCAUGUCUCUUAUUCUUGAUCAGCUAUAGCUCUGGGGUUUUUGCAGAUUUUCAAAUAAAACUCAGAAUUCCUUGUAUGAUUCUCUCAGGUCUCUCUUUUGUGGUAUUUUUGGAUCCUUACCAAGGCAUUGAUGGUAUAUGCCUUCUCUCAAGAUAUGUGGUAUUUGUGGUAUGAGGCAUAGUAACAUUGCCUUCUCUCUCAUCCUACUCUAAUAAGGCUUUAAUAUCUGGAGCUCAUAGGUGGGAGAUAAAAUAUACAUACUUACAAGACAUGUAUUGCAUAGUCAAACCAUGGAUCCAAAGUAACAAGUCAAUAAGUUUAAUCAAGAUGUGCAUGUGUGGCGAAUGAAUGGUAUAUGGUGAUGAUGGUGAUAACAAUGGUGAAAACAAUGGUGAAAACAAUGGUGGUGAAAGUCUAAUUCUACUUUGCUCUUCUG
This 555-nucleotide long non-coding RNA is filed under the name Sorghum bicolor (sorghum). RNAcentral describes it as "long non-coding RNA (SBIC_LNC004945)". The record is from RNAcentral. Lineage: Eukaryota; Viridiplantae; Streptophyta; Magnoliopsida; Poales; Poaceae.